Molecule: ribosomal RNA, 484 nt
Filed under: uncultured Nocardioides sp.
Lineage: Bacteria; Bacillati; Actinomycetota; Actinomycetes; Propionibacteriales; Nocardioidaceae
Description: partial 16S ribosomal RNA
Source: RNAcentral
CACGUAGUUGGCCGGUCCUUCUUCUGCACAUACCGUCACUUUCGCUUCGUCUGUGCUGAAAGAGGUUUACAACCCGAAGGCCGUCAUCCCUCACGCGGCGUUGCUGGAUCAGGCUUCCGCCCAUUGUCCAAUAUUCCCCACUGCUGCCUCCCGUAGGAGUCUGGGCCGUGUCUCAGUCCCAGUGUGGCCGGUCACCCUCUCAGGCCGGCUACCCGUCGAAGCCAUGGUAGGCCAUUACCCCACCAUCAAGCUGAUAGGCCGCGAGCACAUCCCCCACCGAAAAAACUUUCCACCACCCCCGAUGCCGAAGGUAGUCAUAUCCGGUAUUAAUCCCGGUUUCCCGGAGCUAUCCCGAAGUGAAGGGCAGAUUACUCACGUGUUACUCACCCGUUCGCCGCUCGAGUACCACCGAAGUGGCCUUUCCGCUCGACUUGCAUGUGUUAAGCACGCCGCCAGCGUUCGUCCUGAGCCAGGAUCAAACUCU